UACGGGGGGGGCAAGCGUUGUUCGGAAUUACUGGGCGUAAAGGGCGCGUAGGCGGUUCGCUAAGUUGAAUGUGAAAACUCUGGGCUUAACCCAGAGCCUGCAUCCAAAACUGGCGAACUGGAGUACUGGAGGGGGAAGCGGAAUUCCUGGUGUAGCGGUGAAAUGCGUAGAUAUCGGGAGGAACACCUGUGGCGAAAGCGGCUCACUGGACCACAACUGACGCUGAGGCGCGAAAGCUAGGGGAGCAAACAGG
This 253-nucleotide ribosomal RNA is filed under the name uncultured bacterium. RNAcentral describes it as "partial 16S ribosomal RNA". It matches the Rfam family "Bacterial small subunit ribosomal RNA", at positions 524 to 776 of the family's 1533-position model. The record is from RNAcentral.